GAUGAACGCUGGCGGCGUGCCUAAUACAUGCAAGUCGAGCGAACAGACGAGGAGCUUGCUCCUCUGACGUUAGCGGCGGACGGGUGAGUAACACGUGGAUAACCUACCUAUAAGACUGGGAUAACUUCGGGAAACCGGAGCUAAUACCGGAUAAUAUAUUGAACCGCAUGGUUCAAUAGUGAAAGACGGUUUUGCUGUCACUUAUAGAUGGAUCCGCGCCGCAUUAGCUAGUUGGUAAGGUAACGGCUUACCAAGGCGACGAUGCGUAGCCGACCUGAGAGGGUGAUCGGCCACACUGGAACUGGGCCACGGUCCAGACUCCUACGGGAGGCAGCAGUAGGGAAUCUUCCGCAAUGGGCGAAAGCCUGACGGAGCAACGCCGCGUGAGUGAUGAAGGUCUUCGGAUCGUAAAACUCUGUUAUUAGGGAAGAACAAAUGUGUAAGUAACUAUGCACGUCUUGACGGUACCUAAUCAGAAAGCCACGGCUAACUACGUG
This 497-nucleotide ribosomal RNA is filed under the name uncultured bacterium. Its description in RNAcentral is "partial 16S ribosomal RNA". It matches the Rfam family "Bacterial small subunit ribosomal RNA", at positions 28 to 507 of the family's 1533-position model. The record is from RNAcentral.